Molecule: ribosomal RNA, 1329 nt
Filed under: Heterosigma akashiwo
Lineage: Eukaryota; Raphidophyceae; Chattonellales; Chattonellaceae
Description: partial Bacterial large subunit ribosomal RNA
Rfam family: Bacterial large subunit ribosomal RNA
Source: RNAcentral
AAAGGUGAAAAGAACCCCGGGAGGGGAGUGAAAUAGAACAUGAAACCUUAAGCUUACAAGCAGUAGGAGGACGACUUAUCGUUUGACUGCGUGCCUGUUGAAGAAUGAGCCGGCGACUUAUAGUUAGUGGCAGGUUAAGGUAGAGAAUACUGGAGCCACAGUGAAAGCGAGCUUUAAUAGAGCGUGUGUCACUAGUUAUAGACCCGAACCCGGAUGAUCUAACCAUGGCCAGGAUGAAGCCUAGGUAAUACUAUGUGGAGGUCCGAACCGACUGAUGUUGAAAAAUCAGCGGAUGAGUUGUGGUUAGGGGUGAAAUACCAAUCGAAUUCGGAGCUAGCUGGUUCUCCCCGAAAUGUGUUUAGGCGCAGCGGUUAAUAUUAUAGCUUAGAGGUAAAGCACUGUUUCGGUGCGGGCUGGUAAUUCGGUACCAAAUCGAGGCAAACUCUGAAUACUAAGUGAACAGUUAACCAGUAAGACUGUGGGGGAUAAGCUUCAUAGUCAAGAGGGAAACAGCCCAGAUCACCAGUUAAGGCCCCUAAAUAAUUAUUAAGUGGUAAAGGAGGUGGGAAGACUCAGACAGCCAGGAGGUUUGCUUAGAAGCAGCAAUCCUUUAAAGAGUGCGUAAUAGCUCACUGGUCAAGUGAUUCCGCGCCGAUAAUGUAGCGGGGCUUAAGUUAUCCGCCGAAGCUGUGGCAACCUGUGUGGUUGGGUAGGGGAGCGUCGUGUCAGUGGUGAAGCUGCCGGGUGACUGUGUGGUGGAGUUGAUGCGAGUGAGAAUGCAGGCAUGAGUAGCGUGUGACGGGUGGGAAUCCCGUCCGCCGAUUAUCCAAGGGUUCCAGGGUCAAGUUUGUCUGCCCUGGGUGAGUCGGGUCCUAAGGCGAGGCCGACAGGCGUAGUCGAUGGGUAACCAGUUGAUAUUCUGGUACCGGCUUGUCACCGUCCGUGUCGAGGUGUGUGAUGCUAAGCAUGUGAGCUUGUCUUGGGAGUGUUUUUGAUGCUUCUGGGGUGGGUGAGUGUGUGAACCGAUCAUGUAGUAGGCAAGCUGCGGAGGGACGCAGUGAGGUAGCUCAUCCCCGGUGAUGGUUGUCCGGGGCUAAGUGUGUGGACUGUCUGGUAGGUAAAUCCGCUGGGCGUGAAGGUUGAGGCAUGAUGGGGAGCCCAUGGUUGUGGGUGAGUGAGUGAUCCUGUACUGUCGAGAAAAGCUUCGUGAGCGAGGUGGCGGGUCCGCCCGUACCCUAAACCGACACUGGUGGAUAGGUAGAGUAUACUGAGGCGUUCGAGUGAAUCGUAGUGAAGGAACUCGGCAAAAUGCCCCCGUAACUUUGGGAU